RNAcentral lists this ribosomal RNA (253 nucleotides) under uncultured bacterium. Its description in RNAcentral is "partial 16S ribosomal RNA". It matches the Rfam family "Bacterial small subunit ribosomal RNA", at positions 524 to 776 of the family's 1533-position model. The record is from RNAcentral.
UACGUAGGCCCCAAGCGUUAUCCGGAAUUACUGGGCGUAAAGGGCGCGUAGGCGGAUGUCUAAGUCAGAGGUAAAAGCCCAGGGCUCAACCUUGGAACUGCCUUUGAUACUGGACAUCUUGAGUACGGGAGAGGUGAGUGGAACUCCGAGUGUAGAGGUGAAAUUCGUAGAUAUUCGGAAGAACACCAGUGGCGAAGGCGACUCACUGGCCCGUUACUGACGCUGAGGCGCGAAAGCGUGGGGAGCAAACAGG